GUCCCCAUCGUCCAGCCAGGCCUAGGACACCGCCCUUUCAAGGCGGAAACGGGGGUUCAAAUCCCCCUGGGGACGCCA
Molecule: transfer RNA, 78 nt
Filed under: Acidobacteriota bacterium
Lineage: Bacteria; Pseudomonadati; Acidobacteriota
Also listed under: 1 other name
Description: tRNA-Glu
Rfam family: tRNA
About the family: Transfer RNA (tRNA) molecules are approximately 80 nucleotides in length. Their secondary structure includes four short double-helical elements and three loops (D, anti-codon, and T loops).
Source: RNAcentral